RNAcentral lists this long non-coding RNA (647 nucleotides) under Malus domestica (apple). Its description in RNAcentral is "long non-coding RNA (MDOM_LNC009783)". Lineage: Eukaryota; Viridiplantae; Streptophyta; Magnoliopsida; Rosales; Rosaceae. The record is from RNAcentral.
GUAAUCACAUAUAACCAAAUGGAAAGAUAACAUCCACGAGGACAAACCUUGCAUCUCUUUAUGAUGAAAUGGCAAGGGACGAUGCUCUGUCGACAAAGAAACCUUGCUAUGAGAAUAGAUGUACUCAUAGUCUUUUGUCAGGCGAAUAGACAACGAAAUCACAACCAAAACAAAACAAAUUCCUUGGAUGUAUGAUUCUUCAACCACAGGAGACUACACCUAACUAACAGGAAAGAUAAGCUCAUAAGGCCUAAACCCUACGAGUCGGACCUACACUGUCAAGACACACAAGGUAAACACAUACCAUUACCUGAAAACUUUGCAAUGACACAAAAACAUGACUGUGAAUCCAUCAAACCAUUGGAACGACCUCAUAUAUAAGAGAAAGAUCCCAAACCCCUUUGAUGGUCCUGUAAUUGCAGGAAAAAACUCUGCUUAAAUCACUUCCAACAAACGUUGAGCUUCUUCUACAUAAUCCUUACCAAGUGCACAAGCCACAAAAGCAUCACUUCAUAUUUGAACAACAAUUAUCGUUCUAAGAUUCGAGGUUGAGCCGUAAGUCAUAAUUGUUACAAAAGUUCUCCUCCUUACAAGGAGAGAGUGACCCACAACCACAAACACAAAGGUUCUCAUCGACAAAGCGAGUG